This 492-nucleotide ribosomal RNA is filed under the name uncultured bacterium. RNAcentral's name for it is "partial 16S ribosomal RNA". It matches the Rfam family "Bacterial small subunit ribosomal RNA", at positions 29 to 507 of the family's 1533-position model. The record is from RNAcentral.
AGUGAACGCUGGCGGUAGGCCUAACACAUGCAAGUCGAACGGCAGCACAGUAAGAGCUUGCUCUUACGGGUGGCGAGUGGCGGACGUGUGAGGAAUACAUCGUAAUCUACUUUUUCGUGGGGGAUAACGUAGGGAAACUUACGCUAAUACCGCAUACGACCUACGGGUGAAAGCAGUGGAUCUUCGGACCUUGCGCGAUUGAAUGAGCCGAUGUCGGAUUAGCUAGUUGGCGGGGUAAAGGCCUACCAAGGCGACGAUCCGUAGCUGGUCUGAGAGGAUGAUCAGCCACACUGGAACUGAGCCACGGUCCAGACUCCUACGAGAGGCAGCAGUGGGGAAUAUUGGACAAUGGGCGCAAGCCUGAUCCAGCCAUACCGCGUGGGUGAAGAAGGCCUUCGGGUUGUAAAGCCCUUUUGUUGGGAAAGAAAAGCAGCAGGUUAAUACCCAGCUGUUCUGACGGUACCCAAAGAAUAAGCACCGGCUAACUUCGUG